AUGAACGCUGGCGGCGUGCCUUAAGCAUGCAAGUCGAACGGGAUUUUGGAGUCGCAAGAUUUUAAUUUUCAGUGGCGGACGGGUGAGUAUAAGUAAGGAACGUACCCUAAACUAUCGCAUAGCUCGUCGAAAGACGGGGUAAUUCGAUAUGUGAUCGCAAGAUCAAAGAGCGUAACAACUCGGUUUUGGAGCGGCCUUAUGUCUAUCAGCUAGUUGGUGGGGUAAAAGCCUACCAAGGCGACGACGGAUAGGGGGUGUGAGAGCACGACCCCCCACAAUGGCACUGAGACACGGGCCAUACAGCUACGGAUGGCAGCAACUGGGAAUAUUAGUAAUGGGCGAAAGCCUGACCGAGCGACACCGCGUGAGGGAUGAAGUAUUUCGGUAUGUAAACCUCUUUUAUAUAGUCGUCGAGGCUAUAAGAAUAAGCACCUACAAACUACGU
RNAcentral lists this ribosomal RNA (445 nucleotides) under uncultured bacterium. RNAcentral describes it as "bacterial SSU rRNA". It matches the Rfam family "Bacterial small subunit ribosomal RNA", at positions 29 to 506 of the family's 1533-position model. The record is from RNAcentral.